Molecule: long non-coding RNA, 2972 nt
Organism: Gymnodraco acuticeps
Lineage: Eukaryota; Metazoa; Chordata; Actinopteri; Perciformes; Bathydraconidae
Exons: 2
Source: RefSeq, a predicted model, not a curated record
UGCUUCUGGGACGUGGUGCUGUCGUUCCCUCUGGAGCUGCAGAAGAAGAUGCUCCACUUCGCCACAGGAAGUGACCGCGUGCCCGUCGGAGGAAUGGCCGACCUCAACUUCAAAAUCUCCAAGAUCGACGUUCCCACUGACUGGCUGCCGAUCUCACACACGUGUUUCAAUCAGAUCUGCCUCCCUCCGUACAGAAACAGGAAGGAGCUCAAACACAAACUGACCAUCGCCAUCUCCAACGCUGAGGGCUUCGGCCUGGAGUGAUACACACACACACGCACACACACGCACACGCACACACACACGCACACACACACACGCGCACACACACGUGAGGUGGAUCCGAUUGUGGAGUUUUACAAUGCGUGCUUCUUAUUGUCGGACAUUAUUAUGGGCUGUAAUGCAGUGUGUGUGUGUGUGUGUGUUUGUGUGUGUUUUAUGUGUCCGUGUUGCAGCAGAUAAGGUGGUAACUUCCCGCUGCAACAUCUACACACACACCAAAAUGUAUUUUAUUUGCACAUGGACCAUAUUACAAAACAACACUGACGUUGUAGGUUUAAAAAGAUGUCACUCUUUCUUUCAGCCUUGCAGAAACUCUACAUUAAAAAAAAUAUUUAAUAUUUCUGUUCCCAGACCAAGUGUGUGUGUCAACAGCCUUUUAAAUGAUACUAGGUCGCUAGUUUGCUAAGGUAAAUAUUAUUAUUACUAUUAUUUUAAUUGAUAAUAACAGUAUUUUUAUUUUUGUAUUAAUAUGUUUUAAAAAGUACAUUUUUAUUUUUUAUGAAUAAUAAUUUGUAUUUUGACUAUUUUCAAUUAUUAAUUUUGAUCAAUAAUAAUUAAUAUCAAUUUUAUUUUUAAACGAAUAACAAUAAUAUUUAUAAUAAAGAGUCACUCUGCAUCAAGGUGUGAGGUAAAGAAAUCAAAAUACAGACGUAAAUAUUGUUACUAAAACACAUGAAUAUAUUUCUGGAUUUGAGUUGUAAUAUUUCCUGUUUCCUGCUUUAGCGAUGCUGUAAAUACGUGUAUGAAGGCACGGCGUUUUGUAUCAGUUACGGCCCGUCCACACUACGGCUUCAAAAAAAGCUUGGAGCUGGGCGUGUCUGAAGCUCGACCAACAACCAAUCACAUGAAUCUCCCGCCCCUGACACACAAGCAGCGGUUUGAUUGGCUAGAGCUUGUACUGGCAUAUGAUUCGAUUGGCUGACGCUUCCACCGAAAGCUUCAGAAGCUUCAAAAGUUGAACAUUGCUCAACUUUUGCAGCCUGAAACGCCAGGAAAGCUCCGCUCUGCUUCCCACAAUGCAGUUCGGCGAAAAGUGAUGUCACCCCAUUCAAAGUGAAUGGGCAGACACGUUGGAAACCGUUUUUGAAGCUGUCGAAGCUGUAGUGUGGACGGCCGUUAUAUUGUUGUGUGCAGCUCACUGUCAGGAUAUCAAGCUUUGCUGGGAGGAUCAUGAGAUGCCUUACGUUGUUGUAUUGUUUUUGUUGACAUUGCUGCCUGUUUAAGUAAACAAAAGGCCGCAGCAGAACGUUUUCAUUGUGUUUUAAAUGUUAUGAUGUUCAACCCGAGAGGCUGACUGACGGUUUGGUGUUUGUUCUGGUAAUGUUGUUGUUGUGUUGUAUCAUGGCUGUCGUCGUUAUUGACAAGUCGUUGUUUCAGAUGUGGCGCAGGGAUGAGUCCUAAAACCCAGACAUUACUUAGCAUGUUUGCACUUCCUGUCCAAACGUCGGUUGCUAACAAGUGUCUAUUGAUUUGAUGAGACGAUUAAACGUCAUCACCCCCAACAUUAGCCACCUUUAGCUUAGCGGUGGUGACGUGAAGUCAUGUGACCGUGCUGUAGUUCCUUUAUAGCACAACGUUAGCCACCUUUAGCUUAGCGGUGGUGACGUGAAGUCAUGUGACCGUGCUGUAGUUCCUUUAUAGCCCAACAUUAGCCACCUUUAGCUUAGCGGUGGUGACGUGAAGUCAUGUGACCAUGCUGCUUACACAUCAUUGGACUUAAAAUCAACAAAUGUAUCUUUUAGGAUCGGCUCCUAUUUGUGUAAUCUCAAUGCAUUGAUUAGAUUCCACUUUAUUGUUAUUACACGUAGUACAACACGAUGUAAUGUGCUCCCAGACAGAAAAUGCAAAGAGUGGAUAAAGUGCAUGACUUUCUGCCUCUAGUGAAGCUUUCUUUAACUUGUCCUGACUUCUCUGUCACACUCACAGCAGUUUUAAACGCUCUGCAGCGUCCUAUAGGGUUGCCAUGACGACUGGCAAGCUUUCCAGACCAAACUGGCACAACACGGACAUUACCGAGCAACGCAGAAGCAUGUCAGCCUGAUCUGGGUCACUCAAUGACCAGCUGCUUAUUCAACAAUGGGUCCUUUCUGAAACCCAAGGGCGAGUCCAGAUAAAAACAGCAAGCAGCUCGUCUGAUGCCACGUUCAAAUCCCGUCUGUAAAAACCAACUCUGAAAAUACAUGUUAUGGCAUGGGAAACAUGGGACAUUUUUCAUUGAUUCGAUUUAUUUCGAACGUGUAAAACAACAUAUAUGAAAUGAAACGAGAGAAUCAUGACACUGCACACACUUAAGCAGUUAUCAAAUUAUAAACAAAAAUGUUAUUAACUUACAAAUGAUAUAUAAACAAUUGAUCUACGUAAUUACACAUCCGAAAAGGGGUUGGAAGAAGUCUACACUUAUGUAAUCCCACCCCUUCUCCCAGAUUCAAAUGAUUCACUUCUUUUCAGUGUGAUAAGGUGAACGUGUUUUGCAAAGUGUUCAUGGGACCAAACUGUGUCGGGUUAUACAGUGGGAAGGGAGUGAAGAAUCGGUUUGAAAAUAGUUCGGACUGGUUCGUCGAGAUGUAAUUAUGUUCACUUUGUUGGAUGUUUGAAAUGUGCAGACAGCAUUUAGAAGUAGAGAGCGGUCAUGUGUUGAUGAUGUGUGUUUUUCUAUUAUUAUUUAACAAAUAUAAAUCAGUGUCUGUUUA